UACAGAGGUCUCAAGCGUUGUUCGGAUUCAUUGGGCGUAAAGGGUGUGUAGGUGGCGCCGUAAGUCGGUCGUGAAAUCCUUCGGCUCAACCGAAGAACGUCGGCCGAUACUGCCGUUCUUGAGGGAUGCAGAGGAGAUUGGAAUUCCCGGUGUAGCGGUGAAAUGUGUAGAGAUCGGGAGGAACACCGGUGGCGAAGGCGGGUCUCUGGGCAUCUCCUGACGCUGAGGCGCGAAAGCGUGGGGAGCAAACGGG
This 253-nucleotide ribosomal RNA is filed under the name uncultured bacterium. Its description in RNAcentral is "partial 16S ribosomal RNA". It matches the Rfam family "Bacterial small subunit ribosomal RNA", at positions 524 to 776 of the family's 1533-position model. The record is from RNAcentral.